This 1502-nucleotide ribosomal RNA is filed under the name Orbilia cardui. RNAcentral describes it as "eukaryotic LSU rRNA". The record is from RNAcentral. Lineage: Eukaryota; Fungi; Ascomycota; Orbiliomycetes; Orbiliales; Orbiliaceae.
UCUUGGUCAUUUAGAGGAAGUAAAAGUCGUAACAAGGUUUCCGUAGGUGAACCUGCGGAAGGAUCAUUACCAAACUUGCGAACCCGGCUUAGGCUGUGGCUAGCUUCAACCCUUUGUGAACCAAAAAACCUUUUCGCUUCGGUUAGCAGGGAGCRGUUGUGGGUAAAACCCAACCAAUUCCAUAAGCCUGCCGAUGGCACCAACCAAUAAACUUGAAGUCAAACAUUGUCUGAAUACCAUAUUUUCGAAUGAAAAUUAAAACUUUCAACAACGGAUCUCUUGGUUCUCGCAUCGAUGAAGAACGCAGCGAAACGCGAUAGUUAAUGUGAAUUGCAGAAUUCAGUGAAUCAUCGAGUCUUUGAACGCACAUUGCGCCUAUUGGUAUUCCAUUAGGCAUGUCUGUUUGAGCGUCAUUACAAACCCUCAGCGCAAGCUGGUUUUGAGCAGGUUGACCCUUAAAAAGUCAACCGGCUUUAAAUUUGUAAGCUCUGCUGGCUGCUACGCCUAACUAAAAACAUAGUAAACUUUUGCUUGUUUGACGGUGAGGCUUGUGGACCGGCCUGAACAAAAUCUACAACUUAGGUUUGACCUCAGAUCAGACAAGGAUACCCGCUGAACUUAAGCAUAUCAAUAAGCGGAGGAAAAGAAACCAACAGGGAUUGCCUCAGUAACGGCGAGUGAAGCGGCAAAAGCUCAAAUUUGAAAUCUGGAGUCUUCGACUUCCGAGUUGUAAUUUGAAGAGGAUGUUUCGGUUGCGGCUUGGGCCCAAGUUCCUUGGAACAGGACGUCAUGGAGGGUGAGAAUCCCGUACGUGGCUACCGGCUUGCUUCUAUGUGAAACUCCUUCGAAGAGUCGAGUUGUUUGGGAAUGCAGCUCAAAAUGGGUGGUAAAUUUCAUCUAAAGCUAAAUAUUGGCGAGAGACCGAUAGCGCACAAGUAGAGUGAUCGAAAGAUGAAAAGCACUUUGAAAAGAGAGUUAAAUAGUACGUGAAAUUGUUGAAAGGGAAGCGCUUGCAAUCAGACUCGCUUUCGGUUGAUCAACGUUCCUUUUGGUUCGUGCACUCUGCCGUUUGCGGGCCAGCAUCAGUUGAUGCGGUGGGACAAAGGUUUCAGGAAUGUGGCUCUCUUCGGGGAGUGUUAUAGCCUGUUGCGUAAUGCCACCAGCUUCGAUUGAGGUCCGCGGUUCGCCUAGGAUGCUGGCUUAAUGGUUGUAAGCGACCCGUCUUGAAACACGGACCAAGGAGUCUAACAUCUAUGCGAGUCUUUGGGUGUCAAACCCAUAGGCGGAAUGAAAGUGAACGGAGGUGGGAGUCUUCGGAUGCACCAUCGACCGAUCCUGAUGUUCUCGGAUGGAUUUGAGUAUGAGCAUAGCUGUUGGGACCCGAAAGAUGGUGAACUAUGCCUGAAUAGGGUGAAGCCAGAGGAAACUCUGGUGGAGGCUCGCAGCGGUUCUGACGUGCAAAUCGAUCGUCAAAUUUGGGUAUAGGGGCGAAAGACUAAUCG